Molecule: long non-coding RNA, 1234 nt
Organism: Gasterosteus aculeatus aculeatus (three-spined stickleback)
Lineage: Eukaryota; Metazoa; Chordata; Actinopteri; Perciformes; Gasterosteidae
Source: Ensembl
GCAGUUGACACAGUACAGUGGUGUAGUGGUUAGCACUCUCGCCUCCCAGACAGGUGCCUCGGGUUCAACUCCACCCAGUGGUGCCACUGUGUUAGAUGGUGUAGGCUAAGCCUGCAUGGGAUUCACUCCAUACUUGUAAAAGUAAUGGAAAAAAGUUUUUUAAAACUUCCGCAUCUGAAAAGAAUCCCCAAAUAUUUUGCAAAAAGUCAUGAAAUUCUAUCUUUAGUCAUAUGAAGGGCGACGACGGUGAGAAAACGUACUUUUGAACAAAAAUCUGAUUUUUUUCUAAAUUGGGAGUAAUUAGACAUUCUAAUGGCAGCAGUUGACACGGUACAGUGGUGUAGUGGUUAGCACUCUCGCCUCCCAGAGAGAUGCCUCGGGUUCAACUCCACCCAGUGGUGCCUCUGUGUUAGGUGGUGUAGGCUAAGCCUGCACGGGAUUCACUCCAUACUUGUAAAAGUAAUGAAAAAAGUUUUUUAAAACUUCCGCAUCUGAAAAGAAUGCCAAAAUAUUUUGCAAAAAGUCAUGAAAUUCUAUCUUUAGUCAUAUGAAGGGCGACGACGGUGAGAAAACGUACUUUUGAAUAUAAAUCUGAAUUCUUUCUGAAUUGGAGUCAUAAGACAUUCUAAUGGCAGCAGUUGACACGGUACAGUGGUGUAGUGGUUAGCACUCUCGCCUCCCAGAGAGAUGCCUCGGGUUCAACUCCACCCAGUGGUGCCUCUGUGUUAGGUGGUGUAGGCUAAGCCUGCACGGGAUUCACUCCAUACUUGUACAACUAAUGAAAAACGUUUUUUAAAACUUUCGCAUCUGAAAAGAAUGCCAAAAUAUUUUGCAAAAUGUCAUGAAAUUCUAUCUUUAGUCAUAUGAAGGGGGACAAUGGUGAGAAAACGUACUUUUGAAUAAAAAUCCGGAUAUUUUCUAAAUUGGAGUCAAUAGACAAUCUAAUUGCAGCAGUUGACACGGUACAGUGGUGUAGUGGUUAGCACUCUCGCCUCCCAGACAGAUGCCUCGGGUUCAACUCCACCCAGUUGUCCCUCUGUGUUAGGUGGUGUAGGCUAAGCCUGCAUGGGAUUAAUUCCAUACUUGUAAAAGUAAUUAAAAAAGUUUUUUUAAAACUUCCGCAUCUGAAAAGAAUGCCAAAAUAUUUUGCAAAAUGUCAUGAAAUUCUAUCUUUAGUCAUAUGAAGGGGGACAAUGGAGAGAAAACGUACUUUUGAAUAAAAAUCUGAAUUUUU